AUUGAACGCUGGCGGCAUGCCUUACACAUGCAAGUCGAACGGCAGCACGGACUUCGGUCUGGUGGCGAGUGGCGAACGGGUGAGUAAUGCAUCGGAACGUACCCGGUAGUGGGGGAUAACUACCCGAAAGGGUGGCUAAUACCGCAUAUACUGUGCGCAGGAAAGCAGGGGACCUUCGGGCCUUGUGCUACCGGAGCGGCCGAUGUCAGAUUAGGUAGUUGGUGGGGUAACGGCCUAUCAAGCCUGCGAUCUGUAGCGGGUCUGAGAGGAUGAUCCGCCACACUGGGACUGAGACACGGCCCAGACUCCUACGGGAGGCAGCAGUGGGGAAUUUUGGACAAUGGGCGCAAGCCUGAUCCAGCCAUGCCGCGUGAGUGAAGAAGGCCUUCGGGUUGUAAAGCUCCUUCGGACGGAAAGAAAUCGCGCAGGCUAAUACCCUGCGCGGAUGACGGUACCGUCAUAAGAAGCACCGGCUAACUACGUGCCAGCCGCCGCCGUAA
RNAcentral lists this ribosomal RNA (500 nucleotides) under uncultured bacterium. RNAcentral's name for it is "partial 16S ribosomal RNA". It matches the Rfam family "Bacterial small subunit ribosomal RNA", at positions 29 to 523 of the family's 1533-position model. The record is from RNAcentral.